Molecule: long non-coding RNA, 203 nt
Organism: Carassius carassius (crucian carp)
Lineage: Eukaryota; Metazoa; Chordata; Actinopteri; Cypriniformes; Cyprinidae
Exons: 3
Source: RefSeq, a predicted model, not a curated record
GCCUUUAUUGACAAAAGAGUCACUUGCAACAUUAGACGAUGGAAUGUGGCUGAAUGACAUUGUCAUGGACAUUGUAUUGAGGUCUGUUCAUGAUGAACUAGGACGUAAUAAAAGGCGGAAAACUUUGAUCUACCAAGUGCAUUUUUACACUAAAUUGAAAAACAGUGGAUUUUCAGGUGUCGUCAACUGGACAAAACACAAGG